AGAUUGAACGCUGGCGGCAUGCCUAACACAUGCAAGUCGAACGGCAGCGCGGGGGCAACCCUGGCGGCGAGUGGCGGACGGGUGAGGAAUACAUAGGAAUCUACCCUGUCGUGGGGGAUAACGUAGGGAAACUUACGCUAAUACCGCAUACGACCGAGAGGUGAAAGCGGCGGACCGCAAGGCGUCGCGCGGCUGGAUGAGCCUAUGUCCGAUUAGCUAGUUGGCGGGUAAGAGCCCACCAAGGCGACGAUCGGUAGCUGGUCUGAGAGGAUGAUCAGCCACACUGGGACUGAGACACGGCCCAGACUCCUACGGGAGGCAGCAGUGGGAAUAUUGGACAAUGGGACGCAAGCCUGAUCCAGCAAUGCCGCGUGUGUGAAGAAGGCCUUCGGUUGUAAAGCUACGUUUUGUUAGGGAAGAAAGCACGUUAGGUUAACUACCCGUGGUGUACUGACGGUACCCAAAGAAUAAGCACCGGCUAACUCGUGCCAGCAGCCGACGUAAC
This 505-nucleotide ribosomal RNA is filed under the name uncultured soil bacterium. Its description in RNAcentral is "bacterial SSU rRNA". It matches the Rfam family "Bacterial small subunit ribosomal RNA", at positions 26 to 524 of the family's 1533-position model. The record is from RNAcentral.